This 80-nucleotide transfer RNA is filed under the name Nocardia macrotermitis. RNAcentral's name for it is "tRNA-Asp". The record is from RNAcentral. Lineage: Bacteria; Bacillati; Actinomycetota; Actinomycetes; Mycobacteriales; Nocardiaceae.
CCGCGGCGGGCUGCCGGAUCGAGCCGCCGGUGUCGGUGCCGAUGGCCAGCGGGGCCUGGUACGAGGCCAGCGCCGCGGCC